Long non-coding RNA from Lolium perenne, 464 nucleotides. RefSeq lists it as uncharacterized. Lineage: Eukaryota; Viridiplantae; Streptophyta; Magnoliopsida; Poales; Poaceae. The record is from RefSeq and is a predicted model, not a curated record.
CCCUCGCCCUCCGUCGCCCUCGAUCCAUCGCCGUCGCCCUCCAUCGCCCUCCGUCGCCCUCGAUCCGGCAGCGACGCCGCCCCAAUCAGCACCCACCCCACGGAGGAGGAGGAGGUGACGGUGGAGAGGACGCCGGAGGAGGAGGAGGCAAGGCUCAGGUACCUCGAGUUCGUGCAGCAGGCGGUGGUUCUGGCCGCCGCGGCCUACGCCUACGCCAAGCAGGACGCGGGGCCGCUCCGCCCCGGCGUCGACCACGUCGAGGGGACCGUCAAGGCCGUCGUCGGCCCCGUCUACGACCGCUACCACGCCGUGCCGCUCGACCUCCUCAAGUUCCUGGACCGCAAGUUUCACAGGUGGCGUCAGCAGACGGCGUUGACUCCGGUGACCGGCUGCUGCAAUAUAUGCCUGCGUUGGGCGUGAUCGGUGGCUGGUAUGCGAUACUAGCCAUGACUGUCGCGGUUGUU